GGGAUGGAAGCGGCAUCCUUUUGCGGCGUUUACAAAGCAAAAGAUAGAGCGGACAGCCCG
RNAcentral lists this small RNA (60 nucleotides) under Flavobacterium caeni. RNAcentral describes it as "Flavo-1 RNA". It matches the Rfam family "Flavo-1 RNA", at positions 9 to 69 of the family's 76-position model. The record is from Rfam by way of RNAcentral. Lineage: Bacteria; Pseudomonadati; Bacteroidota; Flavobacteriia; Flavobacteriales; Flavobacteriaceae.